This 101-nucleotide ribosomal RNA is filed under the name uncultured bacterium. RNAcentral's name for it is "partial 16S ribosomal RNA". It matches the Rfam family "Bacterial small subunit ribosomal RNA", at positions 1384 to 1482 of the family's 1533-position model. The record is from RNAcentral.
UACACACCGCCCGUCACACCAUGGGAGUUGGCUUUACCCGAAGGCGGUGCGCUAACCAGCAAUGGGGGCAGCCGACCACGGUAGGGUCAGCGACUGGGGUG